Long non-coding RNA from Emys orbicularis (European pond turtle), 2197 nucleotides. RefSeq lists it as uncharacterized. The transcript has 3 exons. The record is from RefSeq and is a predicted model, not a curated record. NCBI's taxonomy places the organism in Eukaryota, Metazoa, Chordata, Testudines, Emydidae.
AGGUGGGGUGAAAGAUAAAAGCUGGUCAAGGAUGCACGUCCAUGCAAGUGAGAUAAACCAGAGUUUUGGUGGGCACAGUUUGCACCACUGCUAACGAAUAGAGGAUUCAAGUCAAACUCAGGAUUCAACAGAUUAAACCCACAAGAAUUUUAGCCUGCCUUGUGCAAAAGCACAAGAAGAAGGCCUUGUCUACAUUGAGGAUUUGCCAUUAUUACAGUCAUCGGUGUAACUGGACUGGUGCAAUCCCUAAGGUACACCUGGUGUAGCUUAUUCCAUUUGAAGCAGGGAGGAGCUCUUCCACCAGUACAUAUAACAGCUCUGUCUGUGUACAUGAGGGGUUGCACCUGUCCAGUUAUAAUAAUGACUGAAAUGAAAGCAAAUCCCCAGUAUAUACAAGGUCAAAGACUGAAUAUUGAGUCUCGGGUCAAAUGUAUGCUAGUUGAAAGGCUUUGUUAAUGCAUUCACUAUUCAUUUUUUAAUUGUUUUGAGGACCCUAGGAGGCAAAUGAAUUUUUGAUGCAUCCUUUUGGAUUCUUGCUAUUCUAUAUUGUAUUUUAUAGUGACUGACACAGAGCUGUUAAAGGGUGGGACUGUAGUAGCGUGAUCUGGAGAUAGAUAACUUUUCUAGAAUUCAAGUAUUUAAUCAGUCACUAAGUCCUGUGUUUUGUACCAUAUCAAAACUGGUUUGUCUGAGCCAACUGCAAAAACAGUGGAAAUGGGUACCAUAGCAUGUGUACCAAAUCACAAGUACUAUAAUAGCUCCCAGUGCAGCUAUUGUGGCAUUAGUACAUUUUUGUAAUGAUAAUACUCUAUGCUUAUGCAAUUUGUUCUGACAUCUCUCUUUAGACUUCUCAUUUCUGAAAUGUAGCAGAUCAGUUUUUACUUCACUGCAGAUCUUACCAUGAGAAAGCUAGUUGGAAGGGCAGUCCAACUAAAUUGGUACCAACAGCCUGACUCCAUUGUUGUCUAAGUGGAGCUCAGGUAUUCUGUUGCACCCAUUUACCUCUGCUUUUGCUGCAUUGCAUGCUCUGCUAAAGAAGACAUAGGAGAUUCAUUUUACCCAACCAGCAGUUGUAGCAAUGGACUACAAUCAAGCCAGUUUGUUGGACAGUAGGAAUACUUGCACUGCAGCAUUUGACACAGACUAUCUAAAGAGGGCAAAGAUUCAGGAGGGUGAAUGAGUUGAACCGCCUUUGAAUGAAGUCUGAAACAACUUCCAGAAGGGGAAUCCUACUCUAAAAUACUAUAUAGAAAAUAUAAGUCAAAGUGAAUAUUGUAAUUACCAGAUUGUCCCUUCUCAUUCAAGCAAACUAUUUUGUGCUGUUCUGGGUCCUUAAAAGAACACACUUGAAUAUUUCAAAAUCUAUGUAUUAUACUUAUUUAAAAAAAAAAUUCAAAUAUUUGUCUUUAUUAACUUUGCCAUUUCAUGAAGAAUAUCUGCAACAACAUGUACUGAGUUGAAAUAAUACCCUACAUUCAAUAGAUCAGCAGCUGUUGACAGUUGUUUUAUAAGAUUCACACAACAUUUCCUCUCUUUUUCCUCUGGGGGAAAAGAAGCAUUAACUUCCAUUGGCACAUUCAAAAAAGCCAUAGGGCAGUCAUACACACCUUGCUUCUUCACCACACAUAGAGAUGACAAAUUAUUCUUCCAUGCAUCCCAAUAGUAUAUCUAGCAUUGUAAAUAUUAAGUUAUGAAUGGUUAUUGUCUGGUGCCAAUGAAAGUUAGAUUAGAUGGAUCAUGGCUUAAUUUUUUUUUUUUUUUCCCCAGUGUUCUGUUUUUCUGUCCCCCUCACCUCACAUACUAGGGCAUAUGAUCAAGAUGAUCGUAUUAGGUAUCAGAAAAUCAACCAUUAUCUGUUCUGUUUUUCCCAUUCUUGGUUGUCACAAUAUUAUGCACUAACUUGAAAUGUUUGUAAAUUCAUAUUAAAAAUGUUUGAGACCUCAUCUAAAUAAAUUUUUUUUUAUAAAAAUGUCGUGCUUAACUUUUAGCCUUAGACUCAUUUUUUUGUUCUCCUUUGUGCUGCCAUGUUCCCUUUAAUUGCCUUCUGACCCUUUGUGUUUUUGGUUUUUCAUUGUGAUGGUGCAGCAGAACCUUUUUGUGCAUGGAAGGAAAUUUUACUAGGAUCAUCUACAGAAAAUACUUUGGACAUGGAGCUAUUUGUUUCCUUGGAACUUGGCUGUGUGUUGUACAAGGGUUU